Molecule: long non-coding RNA, 307 nt
Filed under: Populus trichocarpa (black cottonwood)
Lineage: Eukaryota; Viridiplantae; Streptophyta; Magnoliopsida; Malpighiales; Salicaceae
Description: long non-coding RNA (PTRI_LNC003588)
Source: RNAcentral
GAUGAACUUUUCAAUGGGGCAGGUGAAUCAUCAACAGGUGCAGGUGCACUUCUCUUAGGUGGAGGUAUAGGUGAAAUUGCAGGAGCAUGGACAUCAUGGUGGUGGUGGUGGUGUUGGUGGUGGUGGUGGUGGUGGUGUUGGUGGUGGUGGUGAGGAAGAGAAGUAGGAGAAGGUGAAGGGGCACUGCCUUCACCACCAUGGAGUGAAUGUUGCAAUAUAGAUGAUAGACGAACUUGCUUCACUCUACCAAAAAUAGUGUUAUUCAGGCCAAGAUUCUUAGAAUUACCCCUGAUAGUUUGAGCCAGUU